AUUUAGCCAUGCUAGUUGCACGAGUUCAUAUUCGUGGCAGAUAGCUCAGUAACACGUGGCCAAACUACCCUAUGGAGAACGAUAACCUCGGGAAACUGAGGCUAAUAGUUCAUACGGCUCUCUCCCUGGAACUGGGUUGAGUUCGAAACGCUACGGCGCCAUAGGAUGUGGCUGCGGCCGAUUAGGUAGACGGUGGGGUAACGGCCCACCGUGCCAAUAAUCGGUACGGGUUGUGAGAGCAAGAGCCCGGAGACGGAAUCUGAGACAAGAUUCCGGGCCCUACGGGGCGCAGCAGGCGCGAAAACUUUACACUGCACGACAGUGCGAUAAGGGAACUCCGAGUGCGAGGGCAUAGAGCCCUCGCUUUUCUGAACCGUAGGGUGGUACAGGAACAAGAACUGGGCAAGACCGGUGCCAGCCGCCGCGGUAACACCGGCAGCUCGAGUGAUGACCGAUUUUAUUGGGCCUAAAGCGUCCGUAGCUGGCCGAGAGGGUCUGUCGGGAAAUCUGCUCGCUCAACGAGCAGGCGUCCGGCGGAAACUGUUCGGCUUGGGACCGAACGACCUGAGGGGUACGUCUGGGGUAGGAGUGAAAUCCCGUAAUCCUGGACGGACCACCGGUGGCGAAAGCGCCUCAGGAAAACGGAUCCGACAGUGAGGGACGAAAGCUGGGGUCACGAACCGGAUUAGAUACCCGGGUAGUCCCAGCUGUAAACGAUGCUCACUAGGUGUGGCACUGGCUACGAGCUCGUGCUGUGCCGUAGCGAAGGCGAUAAAUGAGCCGCCUGGGAAGUACGUCCGCAAGGAUGAAACUUAAAGGAAUUGGCGGGGGAGCACUACAACCGGAGAGCCUGCGGUUUAAUUGGACUCAACGCCGGACAUCUCACCAGCUCCGACAGUA
This 900-nucleotide ribosomal RNA is filed under the name Halobacteriaceae archaeon GX74. Its description in RNAcentral is "bacterial SSU rRNA". It matches the Rfam family "Archaeal small subunit ribosomal RNA", at positions 43 to 944 of the family's 1478-position model. The record is from RNAcentral. Lineage: Archaea; Methanobacteriati; Methanobacteriota; Halobacteria; Halobacteriales; Halobacteriaceae.